UGUUUAUUAUGUAAGCCAAUCUGGAAAAGAAAACGACAUGUCUUCUUGUGUAUCUUCACUGCAACCAUUCCUAGAAAACCUAUGAGGAUGAAAGUACCUACAACCUAAACUGGAGCACAUACCUUUGCGCUUUGCUGAAUCAGGCCCUAAAAAAAUUCCUUAUCAGGACCAGAAGAAAAGAAAUCUCUCUGUUAUGUUUUUCCUGUGGCAAAGGAAAAGACAAGAUGAUGACUUUCCAGCUCAUUUCACUUGUACAACAUUCUCAUCAAUCACCAUGGGGCAUCUAAAUAGCAAAACCUGGAUCACCGAAUCAGA
Pezoporus occidentalis (night parrot) is the source of this 315-nucleotide long non-coding RNA. RefSeq lists it as uncharacterized. The transcript has 3 exons. The record is from RefSeq and is a predicted model, not a curated record. Lineage: Eukaryota; Metazoa; Chordata; Aves; Psittaciformes; Psittacidae.